This is a non-coding RNA of Nicotiana attenuata, 74 nucleotides long. The record is from Rfam. Lineage: Eukaryota; Viridiplantae; Streptophyta; Magnoliopsida; Solanales; Solanaceae.
GGGAUUGUAUUUCAAUUGGUCAGAGCACUGCCUUUUCAAGGCGAAAGCUGCGGGUUCAAGCCCCGUCAUUCCCG